This 1476-nucleotide ribosomal RNA is filed under the name metagenome. RNAcentral describes it as "SSU rRNA". It matches the Rfam family "Eukaryotic small subunit ribosomal RNA", at positions 1 to 1404 of the family's 1831-position model. The record is from RNAcentral.
UCUGGUUGAUCCUGCCAGUAGUUAUAUGCUUGUCUCAAAGAUUAAGCCAUGCAUGUCUAAGUACACACGAAUUAAAAGUGAAACCGCAAAAGGCUCAUUAUAUCAGUUAUGGUUCCUUAGAUCGUUAACAGUUACUUGGAUAACUGUGGUAAUUCUAGAGCUAAUACAUGCAUUAUAAACACGGACCUUUGGGACGUGUGCUUUUAUUAGGCUAAAACCAAGCGAUCGCAAGAUCGUUAUUAUGGUUGAACUCUAGAUAACUUGCAGAUCGUAUGGUCUUGUACCGACGACAGAUCUUUCAAAUGUCUGCCCUAUCAACUUUUGAUGGUAGUAUCUAGGACUACCAUGGUUGCAACGGGUAACGGGGAAUCAGGGUUCGAUUCCGGAGAGGGAGCCUGAGAAACGGCUACCACAUCUAAGGAAGGCAGCAGGCGCGUAAAUUACCCACUCCCAGCCCGGGGAGGUAGUGACGAAAAAUAACAAUACAGGACUCAUUAUAGAGGCCCUGUAAUUGGAAUGAGUACACUUUAAAUCCUUUAACAAGGACCUAUUGGAGGGCAAGUCUGGUGCCAGCAGCCGCGGUAACUCCAGCUCCAAUAGCGUAUAUUAAAGUUGUUGCGGUUAAAACGUUCGUAGUUGAACUUGUGCUUCAUACGGGUAGUAUAACUAUAAUUGUAGUCUGUACUAUACCUUAUGUAUGUAAGCGUAUUACCGGUGGAGUUCUUAUAUAUAUUAAAUACUUGUAUCUAUAUGUAUUCCUCCUAUUUAAACCUGCUUCAGUGCUCUUCAUUGCGUGCUGUUGUAGGCCGGUACAAUUACUUUGAACAAAUUAGAGUGCUUAAAGCAGGCUCCAAAUGCCUGAAUAUUUUGUGCAUGGAAUAAUGAAAUAAGACCUCUGUUCUACUUUCAUAGGUUUUUAGAUCAAGAGGUAAUGAUUAAUAGAAGCAGUUUGGGGGCAUUAGUAUUACGACGCGAGAGGUGAAAUUCUUGGACCGUCGUAAGACUAACUUAAGCGAAAGCAUUUGCCAAAGAUGUUUUCAUUAAUCAAGAACGAAAGUUAGAGGUUCGAAGGCGAUCAGAUACCGCCCUAGUUCUAACCAUAAACGAUGCCAGCUAGCAAUUGGGUGUAGCUACUAUUAUGGCUCUCUCAGUCGCUUCCCGGGAAACCAAAGCUUUUGGGCUCCGGGGGAAGUAUGGUUGCAAAGCUGAAACUUAAAGGAAUUGACGGAAGGGCACCACCAGGAGUGGAGCCUGCGGCUUAAUUUGACCCAACACGGGAAAACUUACCAGGUCCGAACAUAAGCGUGUAAGACAGAUUGAUAGCUCUUUCUCGAAUCUAUGGGUGGUGGUGCAUGGCCGUUCUUAGUUCGUGGAGUGAUUUGUCUGGUUAAUUCCGAUAACGAACGAGACUCAAAUAUAUUAAAUAGAUGCUUUCAGGAUUAUGGUGUUUGAAGCUUUUAUAGCCUUCAUUCAUGA